GGAAGUAAAAGUGUAACAAGGUUUCCGUAGGUGAACCUGCGGAAGGAUCAUUAUUGUAUAACCGAGGUGCGAGGGCUGUCGCUGACCCGAAAGGUCGUGCACGCCCGAGUGCCCUCACACACAUCCAUCUCACCCCUAUGUGCACCACCGCGUGGGUCCCCCUUUGGCUUGUUCGGAGGGGGGCUUACGUUUUCACACAAACUUUGUAUGCAGUGUAGAAUGUAUUUUUUGUUUUUGCGAUCACGCAAUCAAUACAACUUUCAACAACGGAUCUCUUGGCUCUU
Molecule: unclassified non-coding RNA, 284 nt
Filed under: plant metagenome
Description: partial contains small subunit ribosomal RNA, internal transcribed spacer 1, and 5.8S ribosomal RNA
Rfam family: Eukaryotic small subunit ribosomal RNA (bases 1-53)
Source: RNAcentral